RNAcentral lists this ribosomal RNA (385 nucleotides) under uncultured bacterium. RNAcentral describes it as "bacterial SSU rRNA". It matches the Rfam family "Bacterial small subunit ribosomal RNA", at positions 30 to 416 of the family's 1533-position model. The record is from RNAcentral.
AUUGAACGCUGGCGGCAUGCCUUACACAUGCAAGUCGAACGGCAGCGCGGGGCAACCUGGCGGCGAGUGGCGAACGGGUGAGUAAUAUAUCGGAACAUACCCUAGAGUGGGGGAUAACGUAGCGAAAGUUACGCUAAUACCGCAUACGCACUAAGGUGGAAAGUGGGGGAUUCGCAAGAACCUCAUGCUCAUGGAGUGGCCGAUAUCUGAUUAGCUAGUUGGUGAGGUAAAGGCUCACCAAGGCGACGAUCAGUAGCUGGUUUGAGAGAACGACCAGCCACACUGGAACUGAGACACGGUCCAGACUCCUACGGGAGGCAGCAGUGGGAAUUUUGGGACAAUGGGGGCAACCUGAUCCAGCAAUGCCGCGUGAGUGAAGAAGGCC